UCCGAUCUUACGCAGUUCCAGAAAAUAUGUAUCCCAUAAAUAUACACAACCUCUAAGUACACACAAUUUGUUUUUAAUUAAAAAAGUAAAAUAAAAAAAAAAAGAAAACAUAAAAGAAAAUAUAGAAAAGCUACAAGGACUCUCAUUUUCUCACACUUAACACCUCAAUAUUCCUCUUGGUUCCUUCUGCCCUCCCUACCUCUCUCCACUCCCCUUUUAUGGGUCUCAGUUUUUUGGUGGAGGCUGAGCCCACCUGUGGCUCCCAGGGCAGGAAGGACUGGGUGGAUCAGGCUCCUCUGCCUCAGCAGGGAAACCUGCUGCUGAGCAUGGAGAGGGUUGCUCAGCAGAGAGGAGUGGGACAUUUGCAGAGAAGUGGAUCUCCCAAAGAAGGCUUUUAAAUAGUUCUCUAUGAUCUCCUCUCCCGUGUGGGAUUGGAUAAUCAGAGACCCCUGUAUGCAGAAGUAGAGGCGCUGGCCUCAGGCUCCUCCACUGCCUCUUGGACAGAAGAAGCUGAGCAUUUUUUCAGGAAGUGGUCACCCCAGUGGUCCCCGGCUUUCUCAGACUUCCUGCAGCUCUCUACACGGUGAAUCACACUGAGACACUGGCAGCAGGCACCACGGAAGGGACCCUCAAAUCUGAAGGCUCAAGGUCCUGGGAAAAGACGAAGUGGAGCAUGCCCCUUGUUUCCUACUAUUAGAGGCUGAGUGUUGGAAGUUCUUCCUAGGAUUCACAAAGAAACUCCUGCUCUUCUUCCACUUACUUUUUCCUGGAAAACACAACCUAUUUCAGUGGCAGAAAAGAUCUCCACUGUUAUAGUGAGGUCAAAGUCUGUUUCUGGAACUACCUGCCUGAUGGCCAUACAAAGACAUACACAUGCAGUGGAGAGAAAACUGCACAUUGGUGGAGGUGGGAAGAGGAUGCCAGAGUCUUCUUGUGAGCCAAGAGGACUUACAGCGAGAUUAAAAAGUGCUGUCCAGCUUCUGUGCCAUGGCCUGCACAUCUAUGACCUCAGACAUUAUUCCAGGGAGUAUCUUAGGACAAGAGCAAUCCCCUGAGGUUUCAGUCAACAGCCAUUUCCAGACCAUUAGAGGAAGGAAUGUGAGUCCAGGUUUUUGUUUGAAAAUUCCUCGUUGACGCCUUGUUGUAAUAAGAUCAAGACAUUUACCAACAAUUAGUCCUUUCUUUAAGCCAAUGGGAAACUCGAACUUCCCCCAUGUUUUUGAGAUUAGGUGAAGCCACGUG
RNAcentral lists this long non-coding RNA (1242 nucleotides) under Macaca mulatta (Rhesus monkey). RNAcentral describes it as "lncRNA (ENSMMUG00000056060.1)". Lineage: Eukaryota; Metazoa; Chordata; Mammalia; Primates; Cercopithecidae. The record is from RNAcentral.